This 253-nucleotide ribosomal RNA is filed under the name uncultured bacterium. RNAcentral describes it as "partial 16S ribosomal RNA". It matches the Rfam family "Bacterial small subunit ribosomal RNA", at positions 524 to 776 of the family's 1533-position model. The record is from RNAcentral.
UACGUAGGUGGCAAGCGUUGUCCGGAAUCAUUGGGCGUAAAGCGCGUGUAGGCGGCUCGAUAAGUCCGGUGUGAAACCUUGGGGCUCAACCCCAAGCCUGCACUGGAUACUGCCGAGCUAGAGUCCGGGAGGGGAGAGCGGAAUUCCUAGUGUAGCGGUGAAAUGCGCAGAUAUUAGGAAGAACACCGGUGGCGAAGGCGGCUCUCUGGAACGGUACUGACGCUGAGACGCGAAAGCGUGGGGAGCGAACAGG